CUGUGCUCCGACUGAACGAGCAUAACUCCUGGAAUCAUUUGGAAGACGAGGUUACUCCCCCUGGGCAGUAACUGGAGUUCUUCAAGUGUCCUAGGGGUGCUCCACUUCAGGUGACUCCCGACCCGCAUCUCCAUAUGGAGGAGGGAGCUUUGGAGUCAAGGCCAGCACAGGCGAAAGAACUGCACGGCCAUAUCAGACCUAGAGGCAUCGUCUAAGGCAUAGGGCUGGAGAAGAACAGAUCAACUCUAAUCCCGUGAACCAGCGAGGAGCCAUUCAACUGAAGACCCAAGAACAGGAACAGAGAAAGCGCGUUUCAUGUGGUGCACAGCACUUCUUGUUAGGACCAGUCCUUGAGCAGCCAAUCGUUAAGGCAUGGGAAUACGACGAUCGCCUGAUGCUGCAGGUAGGCAGCCACCACCAAUAGCACCUGUGAAAACAUUCUCGGAGCUGGGGAGAGACCAAACAGGAGUACCUGGCACUGCAAACGAUCCUGGCCUAUGACGAAACACAGAAACCUGCUGCGGGUCGAGGGCCAAUCCCCUGAAUCUAGAGAAGGAAUUACAGCUGCCAGAGGCAUCAUCCUGAACUUUUGAGGCCUCAAAAAUUUGUUUAGGAGUCUUAGAUCUAAGACUGGUUUCCACCCUCCCUUUUCUUUCUAUUUUUUUGGGCGGGGGAGGACGAAGAAGUACCUUGAGUAGAAACCCCUUCCUCGGUGCUGGGCAGGGACCGCUCUUUUGUUCUUCAACGAAGACAGGGGUCUAUCUCCUGUCUUAGCCGCAAGUCGUGAGAAGGGUCCCUGAAGAGGGACAGGGAAGGGGAAUGAGGAGCGGGGAGGGAGAUAAAAUGGAUGGCGUAGCCAUCUCCACACCAGUUUGUCCGAGACGAUAUGCUCCUGUGCUUUGUCGGAAAUGGGAGAGUCGGGUCCCAGGUGGGCAAAUCAUUGUAGCUGCCAAGCUAACAAGGGGGAGGGUCUGAACCCUUGACCAUCCAAUCAAAAUUCAAAGAUGCGAACAUGCUAAGCUCUGGCUUGGGCUGAAGUGUUUAAGAAGGAACUGAGGGUGGUUCAUUCUGGUAUAGCCUUGGUGCGGGGCACGAGGAUGUUAGCAGCACAUGCGCGGGCCCAAACGGACUCUUCUAAUGGAAAUCUCCAAUCAAAGGCGCAUGCGCACCCGAAGUGGAGCCCCCCACAGGAGCACUACUCGAAGAAGAAUUUUCACUUUUCAUGGGUUUAAAACUCCCCCUUGGUAAACACGCGCUAAUAUCCACUUGAAAUUCGCAGUGUCUAAAAUGCUAACAGAAAACAAACACAAAAGGGGGUGAAUACAACCAAAGUCCAUUCUGUAAUGUUUAUGGCAUGCACACAAAGGAGAUAAAUAAAAACAUAAGAACCCUUGCUGGAAGAUUGCAGUGUCACACUGCUUUAUGCAUCCAAAGAAGUGAGGUUUUUA
Molecule: long non-coding RNA, 1448 nt
Organism: Trachemys scripta elegans
Lineage: Eukaryota; Metazoa; Chordata; Testudines; Emydidae
Exons: 3
Source: RefSeq, a predicted model, not a curated record